RNAcentral lists this small nucleolar RNA (222 nucleotides) under Alternaria alternata. RNAcentral describes it as "Fungal small nucleolar RNA U3". It matches the Rfam family "Fungal small nucleolar RNA U3". Rfam says of the family: Small nucleolar RNAs (snoRNAs) are involved in the processing and modification of rRNA in the nucleolus. There are two main classes of snoRNAs: the box C/D class, and the box H/ACA class. U3 snoRNA is a member of the box C/D class. Lineage: Eukaryota; Fungi; Ascomycota; Dothideomycetes; Pleosporales; Pleosporaceae. The record is from Rfam by way of RNAcentral.
GUCGAUCAUACUUCAUAGAAUCAUUUCUAAUAGUAUGCAUCCUCUUCUGAGUUACUCUAAGUAGCCACAGAAUCUCCAUCCUGGUUGAUGACUAUCAGCCUCGAUGUCCCGGAGUGAGGCUUUAUACGGGUGCUUCGGCGCGCGUGGCGAUGAUCUUCAGCUGACUGGUUUGCGACUUCGUGUUGCGCUGGAAGGCAGGACGUUGACGGCAAUCUGACAGGC